CGGGGUCAGGGCAGGGGGCGGGCCGGGCAGACCGCCAUCCUCGGCGCUUCUUUCCCUUUAUGGGAAAAGUAUGCGCGGGGGCUGCCCCGACGCUCCGUGGCCCCGCGCUGUUGCCGUGCCGGAGUUUGGCGCUGCCCGCCGGGCCCGCAGCGCCGCGCGGAGCCGCCCGUCCCGCCCCGCAGCCCCUCGUUGUGCCGCCAUGACGGGCAGUAAUAUGUCUGAUGCUCUCGCGAAUGCAGUGUGUGAACGCUGCCAGGCUCGAUUUGACCCUGCAGAGAGGAUAGUGAACAGCAACGGGGAGCUCUACCACGAGAACUGCUUUGUCUGCGCUCAGUGCUUUCGUCAGUUCCCAGAUGGACUUUUUUAUGAGUUUGAAGGUCGGAAGUACUGUGAGCAUGACUUUCAGAUGCUGUUUGCUCCUUGCUGUGGGGAAUGUGGUGAGUUCAUCAUUGGCCGUGUUAUCAAGGCAAUGAACAAUAACUGGCACCCAGAAUGUUUCCGUUGUGAGCUUUGUGAUGUGGCACUUGCUGACCUGGGUUUUGUGAAGAAUGCUGGCAGGCACCUGUGCAGGCCGUGCCACAACCGUGAGAAAGCAAAGGGGCUGGGCAAGUACAUCUGUCAGAAGUGCCAUCUGAUCAUUGAUGAGCAGCCUCUGAUGUUCCGGAAUGAUUCCUACCAUCCAGAUCACUUCAAUUGCACCCACUGUGGGAAGGAGCUGACUGCUGAUGCUCGUGAGCUGAAGGGAGAAUUAUAUUGCUUGCCCUGCCAUGACAAAAUGGGUGUCCCCAUCUGUGGAGCCUGCCGCAGGCCCAUUGAGGGGCGGGUGGUCAAUGCCCUGGGAAAGCAAUGGCAUGUUGAGCAUUUUGUUUGUGCCAAAUGUGAGAAGCCAUUCCUGGGACACCGCCACUAUGAGAAGAAAGGUCUGGCUUACUGUGAAACUCACUAUAACCAGCUCUUUGGAGAUGUCUGCUACAACUGCAGCCACGUGAUAGAGGGAGAUGUGGUAUCAGCUCUUAACAAGGCCUGGUGUGUGAACUGCUUCUCCUGCUCCACCUGCAACAUCAAGCUCACACUGAAGAAUAAGUUUGUGGAGUUUGACAUGAAGCCUGUGUGCAAGAAGUGCUAUGAGAAAUUCCCACUGGAGCUGAAGAAACGCCUGAAGAAGCUGUCAGAGCUGGCGUCCAAGAAGGCACACCCCAAAGCCCUGGAUUUAAAUUCUGCUUGAACAGGACCACAGCAGAACAUCAGGAGCUCCCUCUGCUUGUACCCAGCACUGCUUUUGCCCUGGUCCUCAUGCAGUUCCAGAGAGAAAGGUCAUCUCAGCAAGGCAGCCAAACUGAGAUUCAGCUCAGAAAGGCAAGUUUUGAGAAACUAGAGAGAGCAAUGACUGGUGCUGGUCAGCCACAGCUUUCCCUGAUGCUAGUGAGUACUGCAGGUACGCAGCACAUCUCCUGGGCAAAGCUUGAGAGCAAACAGGCUGAAUCUGGCAGUGUGCAACAUGCAGUUUGCUACCACCUUAGCAAAGCAGCAAGAAAGCCUCUAUCCUCUGCCAGCUUUCAGUACUGCUUAUGUACCAACAGACUGAUAGAAACUGUAUCUCCUUCCAGCUUCUUCAAAGACUCAGAGUCAAGGCUGUAGCCCCCCAGAAAGACAGCAGCAGUAACCACCUGCUUUGUUUCCUAUUCUUAAAUAUUGUUGCUUAGGUGGUAUGGGAAGGAAGCAAGAGAGGCAGUCUGGCAACCCUGCCCUAAUUGAGAAGUUACCUUGUCUGCAAUCUUGACAAAGAGGCUGAAACCUUCCCAAGAGCUCAGCUGCAGUUUGGAAGCGAUGUUCUGACACAGAGUCCUGUUCUUGGUGUUUGUUCCCACAUCAAAUGUCUGUGAGACAAUAAGACUUUUGUUACACGGUGGAGGGGAAUAAGUGAGAACACUGAAUAUCUUGAAAUAUGCCCCUGCAGGAAUACGUGUUGGCUGAGAAAAUAUGUUCUCACCUGCUCUGUUUCAUUGGGGAAGCAAAUCUUGUGUGAGACCUUAGUGUUGUUCUGUAAGAUGGCCUCAACCUCCACAGGAUGAGGUGCCCACUUCCUGGAGCCACUCCUGCAAAAUACCACCACAGAUGUAAGAGAGAUCAGCACUAAGAAUUAAUCUUUGAGGAGUUCAACAGUAUUUCAUCCAAACAACAGAUUCCACAUGAAAUGCUCAGUGCUGUGCUGUGUGGGAGGCUCUGAUGGACCUUCACCCCUGUGCAAAUUCAUUCUAUUAGCAGCAAGAAACAGAAGGGAUUAUUAGCAGGUAUCUUGAAUGCCCAGCUCUGCCCGGAGGCUGGAUGAACAAGGCACCUUCCCAACCAGUACCAUCACCCCUUCUCUGUAUUCAGCAAGUUUUUCUUACUGAAGUGUGAAGACAGUGGCCACAAGGAGCACUACGCUGUACUUUAACUCUUGCACCAGCUGAAAGAUUUGCAAACAGAUUCAAAAUGAAUAUUGCAGCUCAGAAAAGUGCAGACAGCUGCAAGAAGCAUCAGAGCUUACACAGGAGCUGGCAGAAAACCAACAGAGCCACAUCAGCACUCUGCAGAUCUCGGUGACUUCAGUGGUGUUUCUCACUGAGUAACAAACUCAGAGGAUGCUGAGGUACAACAAAAUUCAAUCCUCAGACACAUGGCAGGGAUAAGGAGAUACUACGUCACCAAAGGAAAGCAAGGACCUCUUCCUUGAUAGCUGCCACAAAUAUCUGGUCAGUGACUUCCACGGAGGAGUGUGUCUGCUUUGAGGGGUAGUCCCCCAUGAAUUUCAUGAUGGGUGACUGCAGUUAAGGACAAAAGCAGGACAAUUUGAAAGGUUGUUUACCUGUCCGUAGCCAGAUGUUCUGGACAGCAAAAAGCCACAUUGGGCUAGAGACUGAGGAAGAGAGAACAGGAUCAGAAAAAAAUACCAGGAGAGUAGAGAGAUAACAGUGCUCAACUGUGACUGCCAUCCAGGAGAAGAAAGAGGAAGGUGCAGCCCAGACCAACAGCAGGACAACACUCAAUAUGCAAAUCCAUACAUUUCCUAAAAUGCCACUUUACAAUGACUGUGUCUCCUUCCUUCUCCCUCUGGUACAACUGUAAGUUUCAAAACAGCCAGGUACCAGGAACAGCACAUUCUGACAGAGGAAGUUUUCAUAUAGCAGAUUUAAAAGGGGUAUUGCCUAUCACGAUGUCUCUGAAAGCCUCCUCUGCACUUUUCUGUGUGUAAAGCAUUAUUGAUAUACUGUGUUCAAAGUCAAAUAUUACAGGUGAAACCAGAACAUUACCUUUGGGAACCUGCUCUCCUCAUCAAUGAGGGAGAUGAUGUUCAUGGGCUUGAGUGCAAUGACUUCCAGAGCCUGGCGGUUGUCAGUGAAGUCAAUGUUAUUCCAGGUAAUGUGCUCUGCAAGGUAUUCCUCUUGCUCUAGCUUGAAGACAUGGUGCACAAAAAACUGCUGAAGGUGUUCAUUUGCAAUGUUAAUGCAGAGCUGCUCAAAGCUGUAAGGGAACAAGAUGGGAACACACAGUCAUCCCUGGACCUUGGCCAGUGCUGCAUUGCUCUAAAGCAUUUGUCCAUAUUCAAUACUUUUCCAGAUAAACUACUGUUAUAUUCCACAUUAAUGAUCGCCACCACUGCACAUUGUCUUAGGAACAUAAGAGAUGCAUUUCCUGCUCUAAUAAAGAUGAGCAGAAAUGAGCCAACUGUUGACUGAGUGUUGCUGGUUAAGCAAGGAAAGAUCUGUUUCAAGGAACUCUAGAGAGAAAGGGGAAAAUAUAACUGUGAAAAUAGCAUGUCAGGGUGAGUGUAUGACCUGUUUUAACUUGCAGUGGCAUUACUGUUUCUUUUAUCAGUUAGUCCUUAACACUGCAUGUGAGUUUCAUUACCUGGUAAUUGCUGUGGCACAAUGUGCACCAGUGAGGCCCCAUGUGGACUGCAGCCUUUGGGGAUAGCAUAAAGUAAUAGGAAAGAACAUUAAAAAUGUAGGAUGGGCUGAACAGAUUAUGUUCUAAAAGUUGGUGAGGAAUAUUAUCUUGCUGAAUGCAAGCAAGGUGCAUCUGUUGCAAUGGAUUGGAAAAGGCUGACUUGCAGAAUUUAGAAAGAAUGAAGGAAGUAGAACAUUUUAAUUGAUUUAUCAAGGAGGAGUUGACAAAGAUGGAGGGAAAUGGAGUGACACAAAUUAUACUGUUUUUCACAGUCAUUUAAUACAAACUUCACUGACUGUAGCAUACCAGCCUCAACACUGCUCACAUGUUGAUGGUGCCCCAUAGCUUCCCUGCUCUGGUCCCAGAGGUUUGUAGACUGCAGACUGUGUGGUGGUACUGAUGAUAUAAUACCAUAAAACUGAGAGAACUGCUGCCUCUGUAGAGAAGGGCAUAUAGAAAUGGUGCUCUGGGACUGAAAACACCAGUAGAAGAGGUAACAGUGGGACAAUAGUAUGCAGACCAGGUGUUUUGCUGACCUGUCCUUAAAAGCAGAGAAAUUAAGUAGUCCCCGAAGAGUGACAGAGGAACACUGAGCAAAACGGAAGCACAGCUGAAAUAGGAAUCAAAACAGUCUCCUUUAUGCUAUGUACAGAAGCAUCCCCAAGAGGUCUUGUUAAAAUGCUAUGGAACGAGGGGAACAUAUAUCUACUCUUCAUGGCUGCCUGCUCAUAGCAGCUUCAUAGACAUCUUCCCUGAGCAAAUUCCUGGGGCUCUGAAAUAGACAUGUGCAAUGGCUGCACCACAGUGAAAACUAAAGGAGAAAGCAGAAAUGUGACCAAGACUAAAGAAAAAUGGUAUUUGGGUUAGAUUGUCAUCAGGGAAACUGAGGGAUGGAACUUUCACUGCUUCUAUGGGAAUGAAAAUAAUAAUGAAAUUUGCUUGUUUUUUGUUUUUUGGGUUUUUUUUUUCCCAUUUACAUCAACUGCUUUUCAGCACCCCAGUGCAAAUGAAUCUAGAGCCUCCUACCUGUUGUUGCUAAAGUUUUCAAACCCAAAAAUAUCCAACAACCCAAUGGACUGACGUGUAUUUUUAGGCUUCUGAGAUGUUGGGUUAAAAAUGGCUGAGUUGAUCUUGUUCACUAUCCAUAGGAAAAUCCGUCCAUAUAUACCCUGGGGAGAAAUUAAAGUGAGAGCCCAUCAUUACAGUCUUUGGACAAAUCUCUCUGCUUCUUCUUGUGUUGAAACAAUGAUUUCAAACUAUGCCUAAAGACCAAGAGGGAACCAGGCCCUCUGGGGUGCACAUUUCUCACAAAAGGCACUUUAACUGGCAAGACAGUCAGCUCUGAAAGCAUCUUUGAAAAGAACAGAUUUAAGAAUCCUUACCUUCACAAAGGCAUCCCUCCCAUCUGCAGCUUGGGCUACAUUCAGGGGCCUGGACACACUUUCUCCUCGAACAAUGAUAGAGAGGUUUGUGAGGCUGUUCUGAAGUUCACUGUAGUCCACCUGGAAAAACAGUCGUGGCAACUUGGUCAUUCCAGGUAGAGAAAAGAGAUCCAGCAAAGAAAGUCUGUCUCAGGAGGAGGGCUGUGACAAACUGCUUGUCCAGCAGUGCUCAUGACGGCAUUCUGUUACCAGAGACUGAAGGGUCUCCUAUCUCAGAAAGAUAUCUACAAUAGUAGCACUUGAGUAUCAACAGAAAGAACAGGAAAUGUCCCUUCUAUGUGCUUCAGUAUGUAAAUGAUCCACAGAGACAUGCUUUGUCACUGUGCUCAGGGAGCAUGGGUGACGAAGGGAACAAGUAGGAAAAGACCAGAGUUUAUUACCUCAAGCAGUUUGGUUGCAAUUGAAAAGUGUGGUGAAUCCAUCACGUCAGAGCAGUCUAAGUUGUCAUACACAGCCGCUGGAAAGAGAGAAGAGUCAUUCUCAUGGUGAAUCGUUUCUGUUGUGGUCGGGAGCUGUGCAGCCUUAUUUCAAUAAGCCUGUACCUCCAGGAAUGUGGCAAAGCAAUACUUUGCCUAAUGGAGCUCCUGGGUUUGAAGAUUUUACUAAUGAAGGUUCUGAUUUUACUUAGGGAUCCAGGCGCAUAUAGGGUCCUCACAGCUCCAGAAUAUCGCACUACAAAUAGCAGCAAAACUGAAGGACUUGUUAGUUUUAAACUGUAGCUAUUGGGGAUCUGGAGAAGUUUUAUCUGACUUCAGAUUUUAUUUUUCUGAAAACAUUUCUUGCCUUGUAUCUAGCUGGUGGGAAAUGUAGACAAAAAAAGCUGCCUAGAUAACAGCUUUCCUUUAUAUAGGAGAGGCCUCAUUUUAGCAGCCAGCAUUAACCCAAAAAACCCACCUGGCACCACUGCAUCACACAGAGGAGAGUCCUUUUCUAAAAUAUGAGCACUUCUGCUGUCCUACUGAUGGGUGUUAUCAGAAUGUCUGAACCGUACCAGUGCUGCAGUUACACAGCUGAAUAUUCACUGUACCCAGCCAAGAGAAUGACUGCAAUCACCUCCACAGAAAGCAUGACUCAGUUCCUCCUCUGUCCUCUGUCUUACAUAGCACUACAGUCAGCAAAUGCAGCAUGGCAUUAUAUCAUCUAGUGAUUCUGUUUGUGUGAUAAGGGUCUAUUUAUAACCAAGGAAACCCCAGAGUGACAAAAUAACAAGAUGGGUGUUUUUCAAAACAUUACCCAGUGUAUAAUGGUGCUUAUCUGCCUGCCCCACCAAGCCUGUCCACCUAACCUUCCAUACUGGGCAGAGAAGCACAAUCUAAUCCUUACAGCUGGAAGCAGAAGCACCUCUAGUCUUUUAAUAUCAAGUCUGAGGAAAGACCAAGCAGAGGCAAUGCUGAGUUUACCUUCAAACUCCACAUUGCCCAGAUGCAGGAUAGCAGCCAGCAGUUUGCUGAUGUCCCAGUGCUCAGAGUCUGAGAACAUGAGGAUCUUCAUCGCCGAGCGGAUGUGGGCGUACUCCUUCGCGUCAUUCCUGCUGUCACAGGACGUGCAGUUGCCCUGCAAGAAUCCACAUUCACAGAUAAUCUUUUCUGGUUUCUCUUCAGAUCGUCUUCAGACAUAAGGACCAGGAUUCUUGGCACUGUUUCUGCUUACUCAUGAUCACCUAAGGUAUACAUACCUAAUUAGCUUUCUCCCUGGCAUGAGAUCCCUUGCAUUCAUCUAAAAUCUGCGCAACUUUGAAAGUGGGGGAUAAUUCCCAUGUGCUUUAUGAUGCCCUUUAUGUUUCUUAAGGCUGAGUUGGACAGAAAGCUUUGGACUGCCUCUGCAGUACACAGGUGGACAUUACAGGAAGCCUCUGGAAACUGACUCACAGCACUUGUAUUACUAAUUCUGGUACUCUUAAGGAAAGGACUGUUGGUACUUGGUACUAUCCAUCCGAAGCUCCUAGUGAUGGUUCUGGUUGCUGGAGGAAACAAAUGACAGAGGGAUAAUAGAGAUAGUUACCAUAGUGAGAUAAGUGUACUCUGAGGCAGUGCCCAGAUUCAGCAUCUUUUUUUGCUCCAGAUUCAUCCCCAUCAGCAUGCAAUAGAAGAUGUGGUAGUUCCUCUCCUCUGGAGCCUGGAAAGAAAGAGGCCAACAUAACCUUUUUGGUACAGGUUUGUAGCACAGGAGCAGGCAGAAUGGAUGUCUGUAAGUGCCCUCACCUGUCGGCAAACUCGGGACUUUUCCAGAAGGAACUGUUCUAUCCGGGCUCCUUCUAUCACACCACUGUGGUUAAAGUAGAUAUCAAUGUAUUUCCCAAAGCGGCUUGAAUUGUCAUUUCGAAUUGUCUUGGCAUUUCCAAAAGCUGAUGGGAAAAGGACAGACAGUACCUUGAUUACUGUAGUUAAUGAAUAUUGUGAGUCUAUUUUUGACGUGCUUCCAUUUUUCUCCUGGUAUUUUGCAUGUUGUAUACCAAAUGCUGACAUACACUAAAGAAUAUCUGAACUGACUUCCUUCUGAAGUGACAGGAAGACAUAUUGUGCAUCCAGAUAGCUGGGCCCUAAAAGACAUACUCAGGUGAUCCAAAUAUGCUCUGUGUCUCUUGUGACUCUUGUGCUCCCUUCAGUUCUGAGACACUGCUACAAUGGGCACUGCCUCCUGCAUCACAACCACUUCUGUGGACCUCAUCAAGACCCAGCAAAAAAGACUAGAGAACUUCUACCCUGCAUCAUUAAUGCUUCAGAGCUUUUAGCUAUGUUAUGCAAAAGCAGUGGCUUGAGGGUCGGUUCCUGAAUUUUUACUCUGAGACAAAUAUCUUGUGAUAAGUGUGAAAUAACCCACCUUCCAGAAUGGGGUUGGCCUCUAGGAUUUGCUGCUCUAUCCAGGAAUGCUGGCCGCUGACAGCUGCCAAAAACUGCAGUAUUAGCUUAGUGCUUUCAGUUUUCCCAGCUCCAGAUUCUCCACUGCAGUAAGAAAUGAGAUCAUUAAGGGUUUGCUUUCUUCUGGUUUUUUUUUUGGUUAGGGAGGCAAAUGGCAGACCAAGGUGAAAUCCUGCUUUAUGCUAUGAAGAUCAGGUUUCCUUUCAUUGAUGGCUAUACAAUUUUAGCUUUUCAACAGCUUAUCUGCUAAAAUGUAAAGUGGUUUUUUUUUUGUUUUUUUUUUUUUUUAACUAAGGUUGAGAACUAAAUUCUCCCUUUGAUUAAAAAUGGGCAAAUCCACGGAAUGCAUUCUGUACCAGUAAAAAAUCACCACCUGCUUUUCUUUAAAAACACAGAUUUUCAGUGUUAGUCUUAGCUGAGGCAACUCAGUUGAUGUGCCAUAAUCACACUGCAAUGAGACUGUUCUCUUACUGAUGACUAGCAUAAUAUGGACACAUGUCCUGUGUUUGUAAGAUAGUUUCUUCCAUCUUCAGAUUAGCAGAGACAGUGUUUCUUGAGGAGAUCUCCAUUUUAAGAAAAUGUAAGUAAUACAAGUAUUGUGUCCACAAGGUAAAAGACAGCAGAACAUCACGCAGGCUCAUAUGUGUAGAAUAUGUCAUCACAGUCAGAGCCUUGUGGAAAACAACAGACCAGAAAUCUCUGGUUUAUGUUCCAGCUUUUGUAGCCCUGACCAAAAAAAAAAAAAAAAAAAAAAAAAAAAA
This is a non-coding RNA of Coturnix japonica (Japanese quail), 8991 nucleotides long. The record is from RefSeq and is a predicted model, not a curated record. Lineage: Eukaryota; Metazoa; Chordata; Aves; Galliformes; Phasianidae.